AAUGAAUCCAUAAAUCAGUGCACUGCUGAAAGGUGGCAGAAACUUUAGGAGCUGGGACCUAUUUAGAGGAAGUAAGUCACUGCAGGCAUGCUUUUGAAGGUUCCAUUUGACAAUAUCCACUCUCUCUUUCUCUCUUUGCUUUCUGGCCACCAUGAGCUACAUAGCUUUCCUGUGUCAUGUACUUUUAUCAUGAGACAAUGCCAUAGGCCUAAAAGUAACAGGGCCAAGAGACCACAGAAAAAAAAAAACUUAUAAAAUCAUGAGACAAAAUAAGUCUUUCCUCCUUUAAGUUGAUUUUCUCAAGUGUUUUGUGACAACAACAAAUAUAGACAUUGGGUACCAGGAGUGGAUUGAUUGAUGUGACUAUACAUUACCAUGUGGUUCAAAAGUCUUCGAUAUUGAUUUUGGGGAGAAAUUUGGAAACUUUUGGAGAAACAGGCUAGUAAAAGCUCAGAAUAUUAUAAGAUUAAGGUGUUUCUGGGGAGAGUUCAGAAGACUAGAAUGUUGAUAGUAAUGCAGAGAGUAAAGACUGUGCUGUGGGAUGUUUUCAAGAUGGCAGAAUAGAGAAGGUCACUUUCCUGACUGCUCCAUGGCAUGAAAACAAGAAAGCUGAUAAGGGACUUCUCAGCAAAGUGGGUGAGCAAAAGAAAGGGGGAGGGAUUUUACUGGAAUUUAAUACUGGUCUUUCAAAGCAGAUCUGGGACAUAAGAGGAUGGAUAUAAUUAAAUAAGGAAGAAAUCCCCAGGGCCACAGCUGCUGUCAUGGCUGGAGGGAACAGUAAGAGUGGUCCCUCUGUAGGCAAAGUGGAGAAAUAAGGGAAUUAAAGGAACUCACAUUUUUAGGAGGCCUGAGGCAUAACUGAGUACAGAGAGUUUAGAGAUCAAAGACACUGCCCAACUAAAC
RNAcentral lists this long non-coding RNA (903 nucleotides) under Marmota monax (woodchuck). Lineage: Eukaryota; Metazoa; Chordata; Mammalia; Rodentia; Sciuridae. The record is from RNAcentral.